UGAGACACCAAAGAUUGACUGGAUGAAGGGGAGAAAAUGGAUGAAUGUGGAUUAAAUAAUUCCAUCCGCAGGUUCUGGACAAGCCCACUCAUACUGCAACACUCUUCUCCCCAGUGUGUGACGCUCACUUGGACAGAAAAUCUCAACUGGCCCUGCAUGAGCGGAGUGUGAUCCUGCUCGGUAACAAAGGCGCUGCAGAGCCAUAAAUCUCUGCCUGAUUUCCAUGUGAAAAGCCUGUGAAGACAGAGAUGCGUAGAGCCCGCCUGCAUACCUCUCCCUCCCUGCUUAACCUCGCUUGACAUGUUUCUCCGAGCUGUGGAGGAGACCGCUCAGCUCUCUUGACCUUGCUAUGGAGAGAAAGAAAGAAAAAAAAACACACACACACACAUUAGGAAUAAAAACAAUAGUGUUGUGCAUGCUCUUCUUCUCUGUGCCCACUUUCUAACAGCUCACAAUCCUGACAUUUCUUCUUCCUCUGUCUCUCCAUCUCUCUCUGUCUCUCCUCUCCUCUCUCUCUCACUCUCUCCUGUCCUCUCUCUCUUUCCUCUCCUCUCUCUCUCUGUUUUUCUCGCUCUCCCUCUUACUCUCACCCUCAGGGCCUUUGCUCAGCUGCAGUAUUAGAGCAAUUGAUUAUCCAACAUACCUCUCCACUGCUUCUAGCUGUACUUUUCUCUGCCAUGCACAUUCCUCCAUGCUUUUGCCCACAGAAAGAAAUGAGCCAUGUGUUUCUCUCUCUCUCUCUCUCUCUCUCUUCCCUUCACUCACACACACACACACACACACACACACAGAGAUACACACGCAUAACAACAAGGUCA
Clupea harengus (Atlantic herring) is the source of this 818-nucleotide long non-coding RNA. The record is from Ensembl. NCBI's taxonomy places the organism in Eukaryota, Metazoa, Chordata, Actinopteri, Clupeiformes, Clupeidae.